CUGCCCUCAAGCGCGGCUUGUGUGUUGGGUGUGGCCCCCCCAUUUACGGGGGGACCUGCCCGAAAGGCAGCGGCGACGCCCCGCCUAGGUCCUCGAGCGUAUGGGGCUUUGUCACCCGCUCGGGAGGGGCCUGCGGGCGUUGGUCAUCCACUAUAUUUUCCACGG
This 165-nucleotide unclassified non-coding RNA is filed under the name uncultured Talaromyces. Its description in RNAcentral is "sequence contains ITS2". The record is from RNAcentral. Lineage: Eukaryota; Fungi; Ascomycota; Eurotiomycetes; Eurotiales; Trichocomaceae.